GCUGGACAACGCUCAGUCCACUGCCUAGCAGGUGGUUUAUUCCAGUUGGAAAACUGAGUGAGUCUUCCAGUGAAGCCAGGGUCUGGUUCUCCGUGACGAUGUCCUCCCAGCAGAGCGGCAAAGGAUUUCGCAACAGCUCUUCGCAGGGCCCCUCUUCGUGCCCCGCGCCGGCGCCCACCCCUGCGCCCUCUCCCCCGUCCUCCUGCUGCGACUCUGGCUGCUGCGGGGACUGCGGCUGCUGCGGCUGCUGCGGCUCCAGCUCCGUCGCCUGCUGCUGCUUUCCCAGGAGGCGCCGCCGGCAGGGCAGGCGCGGCUGCUGCGGCGGCAGCCAGAGGUCUCAGUGCUCGAGCUCCGGCUGCUGCAGUGGAUGCUGAGGCCACGGUGGGCUGCCCCGCACCUGCUCACGAGCUGCUCGCACCCUGCGCCCCUGCCCCUCCAUGCCCUGCUCCCCUGCGGGGCGGGGCCUCAGAGCCUGCCACCGUUAAAGCCAAGUGCUCUUCGGAUGUUCGGACACCCGCCCCGUACUCAGCCCCACAAAACUCCCCGACCUCCCCCCCCCCCACCGUGUGCUUUUUCUCCUUGGGAACCCGAAAGCCGUGGGUGGGACACUGGACUCUACUGUCUGCAGGGGCUUGCAUACAUAGGUGCUCAAUAAAUGCCUACUGAUUUGAUUGUCUCUUGAAGACAUGUCAUAAUAAAGCUUCUACCUCCUGAGAA
Molecule: long non-coding RNA, 717 nt
Organism: Hippopotamus amphibius kiboko
Lineage: Eukaryota; Metazoa; Chordata; Mammalia; Artiodactyla; Hippopotamidae
Exons: 2
Source: RefSeq, a predicted model, not a curated record